AAGACGCUAGUAAAAUCAGCCAUUACACCACUUUGUCAAGGUGGAGUCGUGGGUUAAACCCCCGCGCGUCUUG
RNAcentral lists this transfer RNA (73 nucleotides) under Moolgarda crenilabis (fringelip mullet). RNAcentral's name for it is "Crenimugil crenilabis (fringelip mullet) tRNA-Asp". It matches the Rfam family "tRNA". Rfam says of the family: Transfer RNA (tRNA) molecules are approximately 80 nucleotides in length. Their secondary structure includes four short double-helical elements and three loops (D, anti-codon, and T loops). The record is from RNAcentral. Lineage: Eukaryota; Metazoa; Chordata; Actinopteri; Mugiliformes; Mugilidae.